Molecule: non-coding RNA, 32 nt
Filed under: Mus musculus (house mouse)
Lineage: Eukaryota; Metazoa; Chordata; Mammalia; Rodentia; Muridae
Source: RNAcentral
UAAAGACUUGUGGGCCGCAUGGUGCUGUCUUU